GACAGAGGGUGCAAACGUUGCUCGGAAUUACUGGGCGUAAAGCGCGUGUAGGCGGCUGCGCAAGUCGGAUGUGAAAUCCCGUGGCUCAACCACGGAAGUGCACCCGAAACUGCGCAGCUGGAGUCUCGGAGAGGAAGGUGGAAUGCUUGGUGUAGAGGUGAAAUUCGUAGAUAUCAAGCGGAACACCGGUGGCGAAGGCGGCCUUCUGGACGAUGACUGACGCUGAGACGCGAAAGCGUGGGGAGCAAACAGG
RNAcentral lists this ribosomal RNA (253 nucleotides) under uncultured bacterium. RNAcentral's name for it is "partial 16S ribosomal RNA". It matches the Rfam family "Bacterial small subunit ribosomal RNA", at positions 524 to 776 of the family's 1533-position model. The record is from RNAcentral.